CCUACGGGAGACAGCAGUGGGGAAUAUUGCUCAAUGGGCGAAAGCCUGACGCAGCGACGCAGCGUGAGGGAUGAAGGUCUUCGGAUCGUAAACCUCUGUCAGCAGGGAAGAACGGUCACUGUGCUAAUCAUCCGUGAAUUUACGGUACCUGCACAGGAAGCACCGGCUAACUCCGUGCCAGCAGCCGCGGUAAUACGGAGGGUGCGAGCGUUAAUCGGAAUUACUGGGCGUAAAGCGCUCGUAGGCGGUAUGUCAAGUCAGGUGUGAAAUCCCCGCGCUCAACGUGGGAACUGCCUUUGAAACUGGCAAACUGGAGUGUGGGAGAGGAUAGUGGAAUUCCAGGUGUAGGAGUGAAAUCCGUAGAUAUCUGGAGGAACAUCAGUGGCGAAGGCGACUAUCUGGCACAUAACUGACGCUGAGGAGCGAAAGCGUGGGUAGCAAACAGGAUUAGAUACCCUUGUAGUC
Molecule: ribosomal RNA, 465 nt
Filed under: uncultured bacterium
Lineage: Bacteria
Description: partial 16S ribosomal RNA
Rfam family: Bacterial small subunit ribosomal RNA
Source: RNAcentral